CAUUUCUUUACAUUAACUAACACACGAACAUCAAUGUUUUCCCUCUAAUUAGCAAAGAGACGAUUAGCCUCUUGGCUCUGAAAACUGUAAUUUAAUAACAUACCUAGUUACUAUGACUAGGUCCAAGAUUGAUAUAACAAUAUAAUCACUCUUGUCUGUAUUC
Molecule: long non-coding RNA, 163 nt
Organism: Notothenia coriiceps (black rockcod)
Lineage: Eukaryota; Metazoa; Chordata; Actinopteri; Perciformes; Nototheniidae
Exons: 4
Source: RefSeq, a predicted model, not a curated record